RNAcentral lists this ribosomal RNA (492 nucleotides) under uncultured bacterium. RNAcentral describes it as "partial 16S ribosomal RNA". It matches the Rfam family "Bacterial small subunit ribosomal RNA", at positions 29 to 507 of the family's 1533-position model. The record is from RNAcentral.
AGUGAACGCUGGCGGUAGGCCUAACACAUGCAAGUCGAACGGCAGCACAGUAAGAGCUUGCUCUUACGGGUGGCGAGUGGCGGACGGGUGAGGAAUACAUCGGAAUCUACUUUUUCGUGGGGGAUAACGUAGGGAAACUUACGCUAAUACCUCAUACGACCUACGGGUGAAAGCAGGAGAUCUUCGGACCUUGCGCGAUUGAAUGAGCCGAUGUCGGAUUAGCUAGUUGGCGGGGUAAAGGCCCACCAAGGCGACGAUCCGUAGCUGGUCUGAGAGGAUGAUCAGCCACACUGGAACUGAGACACGGUCCAGACUCCUACGGGAGGCAGCAGUGGGGAAUAUUGGACAAUGGGCGCAAGCCUGAUCCAGCCAUACCGCGUGGGUGAAGAAGGCCUUCGGGUUGUAAAGCCCUUUUGUUGGGAAAGAAAAGCAGCAGGUUAAUACCCCGCUGUUCUGACGGUACCCAAAGAAUAAGCACCGGCUAACUUCGUG